Molecule: long non-coding RNA, 38439 nt
Filed under: Malus domestica (apple)
Lineage: Eukaryota; Viridiplantae; Streptophyta; Magnoliopsida; Rosales; Rosaceae
Description: long non-coding RNA (MDOM_LNC005223)
Source: RNAcentral
GGACUAAUAUUAAUUAAUAGUAGUACUCUAUGAACUUUGACAGUAAAAUAAAAAUCAGAUAGUAAAUUUAACAAAUGAAAUCAAGUAUCUUGGUUCCUCACCAAAUAAAAAGUGGUCCAAACUUUUGUUCUGCAGAUACUCAUAUAUCAACAUCAUUUCUUCACCAUGAAUGCAAAAUCCGAAAAGGUGAACCAGGUUUGUAUGUUUGAGUUCAUAUAUAAGUAUCAGUUCAUUCUUGAAUUCUGAUGUUCCUUGCCCUGAACAUUUCGAAAGCCUCUUCACAGCUAUUUCUUGUCCCGUCGCCAAUUUCCCCUGAAUUGAUAAUCCAUAUCAUGUUUUUGCUGUCAUCUUUAGGCAAAUGAAGCUAAUUCCAUUUUUUUUCUUACAGCUUUUGAAUUAGAAGCAGAAAUAUUUUUUUUUCAAAAUGUUACCUUAUAAACCGGUCCAAACCCUCCUUGUCCUAGCUUGUUUUCUUCAGCGAAGUUUCUUGUGGCAGCCACGAUGGAUGAAUAGCUAAAAACGCUAAAAUCAUGAUGUCGCUUAGAUUUCAUGAAGAUAAGCAUUUCGUUCUCAAUCUCUGGCCAGUUCUCACCUAUACAGAUCAAUUAUAAGAAAUUAAAGUUUCAAUGGAGACAACAAUUGUCAAAGAUGUGAUUAAUAAUCCUGUCUUACUGGUGCACAUGAUUUAAAGAAAUAUACCAGCUGAUGCAAGGGCUGAUCUUCUUCGUCGGAGUAGAUAGUACGCGGUGCAAAGCACUAGAGCAGCAGCUAUAGAAAUGCCAAUCCAAACCCAUUUAUCUGCUGCAUCAUAAACAAUUAGCUAGCAACAUAUGCAAUAAGUGUAACACACACGCACAUGUACGCAUUAAUUGUCUUCAAUUUUUGGAUGAACUAGGUCUUGCAGGUUUCUUCCGGAAAACGAAGAAAAAUUCGAGACAGAGAGCAGAACUUAAGACAACAAUAACAAAGAUAGAGGUACCUAAUAAUACUGAUUCCACGCGUGUCACAGAUUUCCGGCUCAAAUCGGGUUUGCAGCCUCGGUAUAUAUCCUUCGGAUCAAGAAAAGAAAACCCUUUUGGGCAUUCGCAGGUUGGCCUUUUAUCUGGUUUGAGCAUACAGGUACUGUUGUAACCGCAAACACCAACGCCCAGUCGUAGGCAAAUAUCAUCCGGCAUAUACACCAGAGGACUAAUCCAACUUGCAUUUCCCGUGAAGUUUUUCGGGUGAGAAUAUAAAGCGAAAAUCCCAUCAAAAUCAAGAGUUGCCCUUAUGUAGUUGUCCCUCACCGACACUCCCUCUGUCCCCUUAAGAGGAACUCUUCCAUCAUUUUCUCUUAGAACAAACAUGUCCCCUGAGCUGCUGAACACCAAUCGUUUGCCUUGACUACCUGGCACGUUCCCUGAGGUGGUCUUCGUGGAGAAGUAAGGGAUGUUGGCAUUAUCUGUUGUGACGGAAAUGAGCACGAGGUUUCCAUCACCUUGCAAGCUCAGCUGGAACCGCCCUUUUGUGUAGUUAGUCUCCGAUUGUCUACACGAAAGCGUCCCGUUUCUCUCAAUUGUCUGUCCAGGCAAAACGGUGUCUGUAGGACUGCUGAAGGUCUCCCACAAGCUCCCCGAGUUUUGGUGUUGAAGGACAAAGUUUCCGGUGUCAUUCAUGACCCCGUUCGCAACAGUCCCCAAGGUUAUUUCGGAUUUCCAUAUCUCUCCACCCUGAGGAUUGUUAAGAACUAGUCCACUGUUGGCAGUCAAGUUCAGAACUGAUCCCCCAGGUGCAACCAUGGGGUUGUUACCGUCAUAUGCAUACCAAACUACGGUUUUGUCUGGGAUUUUCGCAUACCAUAUCGAAAGCAAGAAACGAUCAUUGUUUCCGAGGGGCGAAAAUCCAAACGCGAAAUCACCGGAUGGAGAAAGCCAUGAUGAGGAGUCGCCUGUAGUUGCAGUUAGAGAACUCCCAACUGCUACUCUUCCAUUAUUUUGGGAAAUCACAGAAAUUGGUAGCAAAAACAAAGAGGAGAACAAAAGCAUCUCCACAGAAAGAGCCACUGCCAUUGCAAAAGCACCCAUUUUUCAACUUGGCUUGAUUGAUUAGCUAUAUUUCUUAGUAAAGCAUUGGUCCUUGUUAUAUCUUCAAGUAAAUGUGUGUGCACCAUGUGCCAAUGUGCCAGUCAUUUUCUAAGUUUUUGCCUGGAAUUAAAGGCGUCUACACCAUUUUUUGAAGUCAGUCUUACCUAUCUGCCACGACAUGACCUCAGACCUCGCUACGUCACACACAACAAUAUCUCCGGGCCUACAGAAUAAUUCUCCGAACCUACACAUAUCACAAGAAUUUCACUUUGAAAAAAAUAAUAUAAUGAAUAGUUCUAUAUAUAAUGACACGAUAUUUUUGGUGAUAGAACUUAUUGUCUCUCCCAACUCUGUGUAAUGUUGCAAGUUGGAUCAAUAUUGAUGUAAUUAUUAAUGGCCCGCUAACUUGUCUCUCUCAAAUCUCUUUUCAUCCUACUCUCAUCCCUCGUCCGUUUUAUGAUUCUACUUACUUGAGCACUUAUAAGUGUUCCAAAUCAGCAAAGGACUUGUAACUUAAAUAAUUAAUAAUAUUUAUCACUACACUGGGGAUUCUAGGUUCCAAAAUAUAAUAUAUAAUAUAUAUGAAUGUUCCAAACCAAAAGGACAAGUAAAUACGAGCAUGACUCACGUGGCAUGUGUCGGCCAUUCAAGUCCAACAAUCAAAAUUCAACAAUGGGACCCACAAAGAAAAUUUGAAAACAGACCUCCAGAACCAAACAAAGACGACUAGGCCUUUAUGUCAAGUAUUAAGAGACUUACAUCAUCACAAAAACAAAGACGACUAUGUCUCUGACACGCCCCGAUCCCGAUGUCCUAGGGACAAAGGGAUGGUCACGUGCUGGCCGACACCCGAAGGGUGACGAAAGCCAUUUAUUGAGUGCAAAUGCUGACAACAAGGGAUAGAUAAGACUUAUAAAUAUAAAAGAAUAAAGAAUAUGCCUUUAAGGAACGUGUUCAGAGCAUACAACUAACUAGAAUACUAAAAGAAAUAAUAUAUAAAAAUUGAAUGAAUAACAGAAUGGGUCCUACACCAAGAAGACUCAAAGAUGCCGAUGUGGAAGUGCCUUGACGUCGGGAUUGUAUGCCUCGAUUCUAUGCCCUGAAGGGGGCGCAAAACAAACAUGAGUGGACCAAUUUGAUAUAUAUAUAACAAAACAGUUAUCAACGUACUAACCCCCAAGUUUUAUGAAAACACAUAUAUAAUGAUAAACAUAGGUUUUCCGAAACCUAGCAUGCCGUGCAAUGUCUCAAAUCAUAACUCAUACAUAAUAAUCACUAGUGAAUUGUCCGAUAACCCCCAGGCCCCAUGCCGGCUCCCCGUCUCUGAGCAGACAGUCAGAGGAAAAUACACUUCAGGCCCCAUGCCGGCUCCCCGUCCCUGUGCUAAAUAGCCAGAGGAAACACACUUCAGGCCCUAUGCCAACACCAAACCGUCGCCCGGGACGGACCAGAAUCUAUCCCUACGUCCCGUAGCGGAAAGGACCACUAGGUAAAUACAAAACCAUUGAACAUAUAUAUAUUGAAAAACAACUUCAUAGUAUAAAGUCAUCCAUCAUCUAUACUAUAAAGAGGUGUUUGAAACAUGUUCUAAAUAUCAUAUCGUCAUCCAUCAGAUAUUCUAUAAGAACACGGGUUAUAGGAAAAAUAGUAAUAAUUCAAACUAGCCUCAGUAAGCAUGUUAUGUCACAAAACGUUUCAUAAAACGUAAUCAUCAAAUCAUGCUUUUCAUGUAUGCAUUUCUACUAUAAAACAUGCAUUUUAGAAGGGGUCCACUCACAGUACUUAGUUGCCAAAUGCUGCGCCACUAGCGAAGACGGAAACGUCACAAUAAUUGCCCCUAAGCACAUAAAUGGUACAAUAAAUAAAACUAUAUAAUAGAAAUUGAAUUUGAGAAAACGGACAUUGGAAACGGAUCCAGAACGUCGAAUUACCCUAAGAAGGGUUUGAAUUAAAUAAAAUAGGGAAUUUGGAAUUGAAUGGGUUUAGGGUUUUAAAGGAUUUGGGUUAUAAAGGGUUUAGGGUGAAAAUGGGUGGUUUGGGCCUAAGCCCAAACACACACACGCACCACACAAACACACACACGCACGGCAUGCACAUGCAUGCAAGCAUGCAUAUACACACACGUACGCAUGCACUUAAACACACACACACACACAAACCACAAAGGCCUUAAGGCCUCACACAAGGACCGGGCUUUAAGCCCUUUCACUCAAAACCGGCCCAAGGCCCUUUGGGCUGCUGAAAAUAAAUAAUUAAAUAGAAUAAAAACAGGCUGGGCUAGGCAGGGAAGGCCCAAAGCCUUGGGUUUUGGUGGAUCGCCGGAUCCAAUGGGAGAGAAGGCCGGAAAUUCGGCCGGAAAACCAUCCCACUUUAAACGGCCAUAACUUUAACAAUACUCAACGAAAUCAAGCGAGACAAAAACGAAAGUUAUAGCCCUUGAAGAGACGAAGAGAAUGAUACCUCACACGAUGUCUAAUUCGCCGUGGUUUGGCCGGAAAACGCCUUGAAAGCCGUCGGACUCGCCGGAAACUGGGUAAGAUUCAAAUGAGUAUAACUUUUCCAAUACUCAACGAAAUUGAGUGAAACAAAAAGGAAAGUUAUACUACUCGACGAGACGAAGAGAUUGAUACCUUGCACGCCGGCCAACUCGUCGUGGUUUGGCCGGAAAUGGCCUCGAAAGGGGCGGUGCUCGCCGGAGCUUACUCCGUGUCGUCGAACUCGCAGGGCAGGGUCCAGGGUUCGUUGCGAGCCUCUCUUCGAUGGUGACUCGGUCCUAGUGAGUCCAGGGGAAGAGAGAGAGCCGAGAGACAUACAGAAGAAGGAAGAAAAGAAAACAGAAAAGAAGAAGAAGAAAGAAGGGAGUUCACGGGGGAGGGACAGAGAGAGAAGGAAGAGUGACGGGAAUGGGGGACACAAAAACAGAAGGUGGGCCCCUUGGGCACACCAAUUAAGAAUUAAAAACCAUUUUUAAAUAAAAUGGGGGUGAGGUGUUACAGUCUCCAUUUCUGUAUUCACAAAAAACAAAAUACUAACUGAAGUUUUUAAUGUAUGAUUACGUCGUUGGGGUAAAACACCCCAGGCCGAGUUGUCACAGUCUGGCGCAAACGGACGCAGAGACCCGAACCACUCAUUUUAAAUCAUACGGCCUUCAUUAGCCUAUCUUAUUGACCCACAUCACACAAGGGGUUCGAAUCUCUCUCUCUCCCCUCUCUUAAACGGUUUGGAUAUCUCGGUUUGUCGAUUUUGGAUUGCGAGAUUCAGAGAGAAUCUGAUUUCGGGUUUAAGGUGUGGUUCGACGACCAUUUGAAGCCCGUUGAGGUGUGGCCCAUCUCAUCAGGUCGAGUCAGCCAUUUUGUACCAGGUUGGAUCCCAGGUCAGGCCAACCAUUUCAUUAGCCUAAGAUGGACCUGACAGACGAGGCGCUUGGAUAUUGCCCACCGCGACCAAAUGGACCCAUGGGCUCAUUAGAUGAUGAAUCUGGACCCAGGUGUGUGUAAAGCCCACCUCAGCUCGAUCCAUAUUUGACCGAUACUACAGAGAAGGUGGAGAUGAGGUAAAGGUAGGGUAAGCUCCAAGUCAUGUGGAGGUCAGUCAAGAUUGAACGCACGUUCAUAGAAUCAUAGUAUCAAAUUCAAGUCCAAAUUUUAACACUACGAAACCAAAAAGCAUGCAACUCCGAAAAACAUUAUUUCAGUCCAACAACCCAAACUUCCUUAAAAAACUAAGACCAAAACGACGACACCAGGAAACGGAAAAACAUGCAACUCAGAAAACCAUUGCUCUAGUUCAAAUGAGGUUCCUCAAUGCCUCAAGCUUUUCUAAACACCAUAGCCUGAACCUUUUCCUUUGCGCCUUCUUUGCUUCACCAGAAACGUUCUUAAUGAGCUCCUCUUCAAAUUUGAGACGAGUAGGCAUUAGGCUGUGCACAAUGCUGUAAAUGCCCCUAGCCCUUGCCACACCCUAGGUGCGUACGUGUGCAUGUCCGACCUGAGUUAUCUCAUUACGCGCGCAGUUAUAUCUUCCCCUAUUGACAUCCCUGCUGUCUAUUCUCCUACGAAUCCUUCUGCUGGUGACUUCAUCCGGGUCCAUUUUCUUGCUCCUCAGUGCAUGUUCAUCUGCUUUUCCCUGUUAAUAAAUAUAGGAAUCCCAUAACAAACAGCAUUUGACAAAACAGAACCUAAUAAUAACAACAAAACUUGACUUCAUCCUCAGUUCAUGUUCAUCUGCUUUUCCACUUCAAAGCAGCUGACGGCACGAUUCGUACUUGGACUCCAAGAUGUCUAGAUUAUGGAGAAACCAGCCCUUUGUUCAAAACACACAAAAAAGUGUAUUUUCCUUUUAUACCAAUUAAGUGUGUUGAAGCAUGUCCCACAUGGCCACAUCGGAAACUUGUUGAAGUUUAAAUCCUCUUAUAUAGAAAGUUUGACUACUAAUUGCCUUGAGGACUUAAUUUUGUAUAAAACCAUACCUAUUGAAUUGCACACGUGCUUAAGUUAAGGUCAUUAUUGAUGGUAAUUAGUAGUGGGCCGCUGGGUCAUCUUCAAAAAACUGGUACAAAGGGCAAUUUAUAGAAGCAGUGUUGAGAUAAGGGCAAUUCACCUCUUUUUUUUAGAAGGAUAUAUAUGAAUGAAGCAAGGUUUAUCUGCUCACCCGUAAUGCGGCUCAGCCCUUCAUCAAAAAGUGAAAGAUCAAAAUUACUUUUACAGCAAGAGCAAUAACCAGAAGAUGUAAUCUAAAUUAUUUAUAUUUGGUUCCCUUGAAAUCCUUUUGACUGCUUCAACAUAUAUGCAGACAGAACCAGAACCAAGUCCAGACUCACUCGUAAUAGGUCUCCUCAUCCACAACAAUAUCCCAGCUUUCCCUUGUCGUGGUUUUCCCAUAUUUGUGCACCUUACUGCAAAGAGAGAGCAAGUUAACUUGUCAAAGAAAAACCAGAACAAUAGAUGCCAAUGCAGUUCAGAAAGUUUAUUUCCCUUCAUACCCAUUUCCAAAGUGCUCUUCUCCCCAUGUCCUCGACCAACCUAGACAUGAGAGAACAAAAACAGAGUUACAUCAGAUUAAAUUAUUGAAAGAAAAAGGUUCACUUCUGUUGUAACAAAUCGACAUUAGAAUCAAGCAACCACGCUAUGAAAUACAAAUUUAAAAUGUAACAAUUUACUGUGUCUGAAAGGAAUCUGUGAAAUAAAAUAGCUAAACCCUAAACAGCACCACUGCAAAUAGCAUAAGAAAAUUAAAAUUAACCCUAAAGAAACCGGGAGAGAAGAAUAUGAAAAGGGAAUACCUUUCGGCCCUUUGAGUUAUUGGAAAAAAAACCCAACAGAGCAAAAGAUAAACAAAAAUAUGGGAGGAAAGAAAGUAAAUUUUCAACUUGUAAGAUUCAUACCCGAACAGAUUGGCGGUCAAAAGCAUUUCGGAACUCAGAGCCAUCAAGCUUUUUGAUCUGCAUGGAAAUUAUUUAUGAAGUUUGAGAUUCUUAUAGACGCUUUAGACACAUCGACAUAUUGAAAAAGCAAUAUUCAACAACCUAGUACCCAUGCUCCGUAGAAGGUUACAGAAAAUAUGAAUGUCUGGACUCUGGAGUGAGAAAGUAAAAGGACUUACCGCAUACUUCAUAUCUUAUAAGUUUUUGUAGUCUACAAUCCCUAUUGUGCCUACAAAAAAAGGCAUAGGACAAAAGCUAAAUCAAUCGAAAUUUUGAUGUCUCAUGAUCUACGUCUUAGGAUUAAACUACUGGGAGCGGCUAGGGUUUGAGUAUGGAAGAUAUGAAAAAUGGAGAGAGCACCUGUUUUUGGCUGAAGCAACAACUCACACACUCCGGACAAAUCUGCAAAUGUCUAAAAGGGGGAAAAUAUAAUAAGAAACCUUAACAACUGAAUUCAAAGAAACAUUAUUACAUUGUAAAUAGCAUUUCACAAAAAACAAAAUACUAAACUAAACGAAUUACACUCGGAUUGCAAUGUUAUCAUUUAAUAAUAGGAAUUCCCUAACUUAGCAGAAGAUCCUGCAUCUGCAAAGGAUCCUUUAAAACCUAUUUUUUUGAACAACCCCGCACAUGCAACACAUCUAGGCAAGCUAAACCAAUAGCACCCUCAUGUUGAGCUCUUCUGUGCAUAUAUACCUGUCAACUAAAAGCAGCCAUGAGUAUUGGAUGGCUAGUGAAGUUAGGCUAGUCAACUUUCUUUAUGUAAAUUAGGCAAGUUAGGUAAGUUAGGCAAGUUAGGCAAGUUAGGCAAAGUUAGGUCUUAUGUCUUCUUUCUUUCCCUAUAUAUAUGUUCAUCUUGUAAUGAGAAAUAAUCAUCUAAUAUAUCAAGGAAUUAACUCUAUUUUGGCAUGGUAUCAGAGCAAUUCUGAUCCAAAAAGAGUUUCUAUUCUGAUUCACUUACUGGCACUACUGCCAUCUACCCAAUAAGACCUGCUAUUCCGCAGGUCUUCUACUUUCAUACCAAUCCAAUCUUACUCUUUUUUCAUUUGGCCAUAUCUGCCAACAUUAUUACCCAUAUCCAGCUUGUUAACCAUACAUAUUCCGCUUCAUCUUUUCCCAUAUUUUUCCCAUUUGCAGUAUCUCUGCAAAACCCAGAAAUCUUUCCACAAAAAAAAAAAAUAUACUACCCAAUACCUUAUAAGCCAUACCCGUUGGAAUCACCCAACAAAUUUACCCAUAACCUUUGAGGCAGUAAUAAUGGGUGACUCCAAGACCACUGUUUCAGCUACUGUUCAAAGUGAUAUGUCUCUACAUAUCACCCCAGACAAGUUGGAUGGGUCCAACUAUUCCUCAUGGUCCCAAAGUGUCUGCAUCUACAUCACUGGCAGAGGUAAAUGGUCUUAUGUCAGUGGAACAAAAAUGGCACCAGCAGAAGCUGAUGCAUUGUAUGUUAUAUGGGAGGAAGAGAAUGCCAUGGUUCAAUCUUGGUUACUCAACUCCAUGACCGGAGAUGUACGGGCCAUUUUUCUCCGACUCUCUACUGCAAAAGAUGUUUGGGAUGCUGUUACCCAAACUUACUCAAUUGAAAAAGAUGCAUCAAAGUUAUACGAACUUCGCCGUCAAGCACUGGUGACUCACCAGAAUGGAGAACCUUUAUCUGCAUAUUAUGGUAAACUUCAGCAAACAUGGCAAGAAAUUGAUUUCUUGCGUCCUGGAAAAUUGAAGUGCGCUGAUGAUAUUGCUACCCGAGAGACAGAAAUUUCGAAAGAAAGAUUGUAUGAUUUUCUGGCUGGUCUUGAUCCUCAUUUAGAUCAUGUUCACAGUUAAGUUUUGACUCAAACAACUCUACCUUCUGUUCGUGCUGCUUAUGCUCUUGUGAAUGCUGAAGCAAGUAGGCAAACCAUUAUGUUGGUUGGCCCACAAGUGGAAGGAUCCGCCAUGGUAGCUGCUCCGUCUCAAUUUCCCCGUGGAGUCUCCAAUUCUCGAUUAGGUGGAUCCAAAACUACUGAUACAAGGAAGUGUACUUAUUGUGACAAGGAUAAACAUACUAGAGACACUUGCUUCAAGCUGCAUGGAUAUCCUGAUUGGUGGGUUCAAAAGAAAGAAAAUAAAAAGAAAGGCAUUGGUGGAUCACAAGCACACCUGACACCAACGCCUUCCAUACCUCGGGUGGAUCAAUCUGCUCACUUAGUUUCUCCUACUACUGCUUCUACUUCCUUAGUCGAUGCAGGUAACUUUGGUUUUGCCUUGAACACUACAAUUGUUCCUCCCAAUAAACCUUGGAUCAUUGAUUCAGGGGCUUCUGACCACAUGACCAAUAACUCUACAUGGUUUGUUUCUCACACUACUCCACCUUUAAAUACCGUUAAAGUUGCUAAUGGUAUUUCUACUCCAAUGCUUGGAGCAGGCUCCAUCUCAUUAACACCAGGCUUAUCUCUCUCAUCUGUUUUACAUGUUCCUAAUCUUUCUCACAAUUUGCUUUCCAUUGGUAAACUUACAAUCAACUAAACUGUCUUGCCAUCUUUUCUCCUACCCAUUGUUGGUUUCAGGAUAUUCGAACGAAAGCAUUGAUUGGUCAUGGUAGAGAGAGGGGAGGUUUAUACUACUUGGACUUACCACCAGAUUGUGAGAAGACAAGUUACAGUUGUCAAGUGGAGGCCAAACAAUUUGAAGCUUCUGAAAAAAUUUGGUUAUGGCACAAAAGAUUGGGACACCCUUCCUUUCAGUACCUGCAAUAUCUAUUCCCUUCUUUAUUUUCUAAAGUCAAGGUUUCUAAUUUCCAUUGUGAAAAUUGCAUUCUUUCUAAAAAUCAUCGUGUCUCAUUUCCUUUAAGUUCCCAUAAAAGUAAUGUUCCUUUCUCUCUUAUUCAUUCUGAUGUUUGGGGACCAUUUCAUAUUCCUACUUAUACUGGUGCUAAAUACUUUGUCUCUUUCAUUGAUGACUGGACUCGAGUUUCUUGGGUAUACUUACUCAAAAAUAAGAGUGAGGUUAUGUCUAUUUUUCCAAUCUUUCAUCAAAUGAUUCAAACCCAAUUUCAUGCUAAAAUUCAAGUUGUUCGAUCUGAUAAUGGGAAAGAAUAUUUGAAUUAUGGACUUGGAACAUUUUUUCAACAACACGGUAUCAUUCAUCAAACAUCUUGUCCACAUACUCCUCAACAGAAUGGUAUAGCAGAACGUAAAAAUCAUCAUCUCUUGGAUGUGGCUCGCUCUUUAUGUUCUGCUAUGCACGUUCCUAAACGUUUUUGGGGUGAUGCCAUUCACACAGCUGUUUUUCUUAUCAAUCGCAUGCCAUCACGUGUUCUCCAAUUUCAAACACCUAUCCAGACCCUUUCCCAAUAUCAUUCUCUUCCUUCACUCCUUCAUAUUCCUCCAAAAGUGUUUGGUUGUGUUUGCUACGUUCACGUCCCCAUGCAAAAUCGUGAUAAGUUGGGUCCUAGAGCCAUCAAAUGUGUGUUUAUUGGCUAUUCUGCUACUCAGAAAGGGUAUCGAUGUUACUAUCCUCCCACUGGGAAAUUUUUUGUCUCUAUGGAUGUUACCUUUCGGGAACACAAGGCAUUUUUUUCAAAAGAAGAUUUGGCCACUUCUCUUCAGGGGGAGAUAUGGAGUAAGGAGGAAGAGAAGUUGCCGCUUGACAUUGGUGGUAUGCAUUUUUCAGAUGAACACUUGUCUGAUGUCGGUGAUGGUGCAAAUUUGCCUAAUGAUGAGGCACAAGGUGAAAAUAUUGAAGGUGUAUGAGAGGACAAGAAAAAAAGGAGAUAAAGAAAAAAUGGAUGAUGAGAUAGACCACCCACAAACAAAUCCCCACAUUGACCAACUUUCUGACCAAUCAGCUACUACUCGUACGAAUUAUCCUGAGGUAACCACGCAUUCUCCCUCUCUUCAGCCUACUAUAUUUGAUGAGUCCAAUCAUGAGAUUUCAUUAAGUGAUGAUCCAAAUGAUUCAAAUGAACCACAUCGUGAGUCUCAGGGUUCUCGUUAUCCUAUUCGAGAAAAUCGAGGGAUACCCCAUGUUCGUUAUGGUCAUUCUUCUACAAAGGGUAUUCAAUAUCCUAUAUCUAAUUUUGUUUCAUAUCAUCGCUUGUCAGACUCUUAUAUAUCUUUUGCAAGCCAAUUGUCAUCAGUCUCAGUUCCUAAUAAGUUACAGGAUGCUCUUAAAGAUCCAAAAUGGAAAAAGGCUAUGAUUGAAUAGAUGGAAGCGCUUCGAAAAAACUCCACUUGGGAACUGGUUGCACUUCCUGAAGGCAAGAAACCUGUUGGGUGUAGAUGGGUGUUCACAGUAAAGCAUAAAGUUGAUGGUUCAGUGGAAAGGUACAAGGCUAGACUGGUAGCCAAAGGUUAUACUCAAACCUAUGGCAUUGAUUAUCAGGAGACAUUUGCUCCGGUAGCAAAGAUCAACACUAUCAGGGUUCUUAUGUCAUUGGCAGCAAAUUUAGGGUGGCCUCUACGACAGUUUGAUGUAAACAAUGCAUUUUUACAUGGAGACUUGGAUGAAGAGGUAUACAUGGAUGUUCCUCCAGGAUUCACUACCACUUACGAUAUUGGCAAAGUAUGCAGGUUAAGAAAGUCCUUGUAUGGAUUGAAACAAUCACCAAGGGCAUGGUUUGGCAGGUUCGCUCAAUCAAUGAGAAGUUAUGGGUUCAAGCAAACUCAAGCUGACCAUACCUUAUUUCUUAAGCAUGAUAGAGGUAAACUUACAUCCUUAAUUGUUUAUGUGGAUGAUAUGAUGGUUACAGGUAACGAUGUCGAGGAAAUUCAAAAACUUUAGAAGUAUCUAGCCAAGGAAUUUGAAAUGACGGACUUGGGUACUUUGAAAUAUUUCUUGGGUAUUGAAGUUGCAAGAUCAAAGCAUGGCAUUUUUCUUUCUCAAAAGAAAUAUGUUAUAAACUUAUUAACUGAAACUGGGAUGUUAGCUUGUAAACCUGCAGACACACCAAUUGAGCAAAACCAUAGAUUGGGAGACUAUCAUGAUCAAGUUCCGGCUAACAAGGAAAGGUACCAAAGAUUAGUUGGGAGGUUGAUUUAUUUGUCUCAUACACGACCUGACAUAGCCUAUGCUGUAAGUGUAGUGAGUCAAUUUAUGCACAGGCCAAGUGAAGCCCACAUGGAUGCUGUACAAUGCAUUCUCAGGUAUUUGAAGUCUGCCCCUGGAAAAGGCUUGAUGUUUUCCAAUCAUGGACAUCAAGAAGUUGAAAGGUACACUGAUGCAGAUUGGGCUGGGUCAGUAACUGAUCGCAGAUCGACUUCUGGAUACUUUACAUUUGUUGGAGGAAAUCUAGUUACUUGGCGCAGUAAGAAGCAACAUGUAGUGGCUAGAUCCAGUGCCGAAGCUGAAUUUAGAGGUAUGGCACAUGGUGUGCAAGAAUUGUUAUGGCUCAGGACUUUGUUGAGAGAAUUAGGUUUUAAUUCUGCAAAGCCAUCAAAACUUUAUUGUGAUAACAAAGCUGCCAUUAGCAUUGCUCAUAAUCCAGUUCAACAUGAUCGUACUAAACAUGUUGAAGUGGAUAGGCACUUUAUUAAAGAAAGGUUGGUUGAUGGUACCAUUAACUUGCCUUAUGUGAAGAGUGAUGACCAGCUAGCAGAUAUUUUAACAAAGGCAGUGUCAAGUAGGAUUUUCCAUCUUUCACUCAGCAAGCUGGGCAUUCAAGAUAUUUACGCACCAACUUGAGGGGGAGUGUCAACUGAAAGCAGCCAUGAGUAUUGGAUGGCUAGUGAAGUUAGGCUAGUCAACUUUCUUUAUGUAAAUUAGGCAAGUUAGGCAAGUUAGGCAAGUUAGGCAAAGUUAGGUCUUAUAUCUUCUUUCUUUCCCUAUAUAUAUGUUCAUCUUGUAAUGAGAAAUAAUCAUCUAAUAUAUCAAGGAAUUAACUCUAUUUUGGCAAUACCCCUUAUAAGUAAUCUUAAUCAAUCAAUUACCAUGAAUAUAGUCAGUUAUCAUGAAUAUAGAACUUAUAUUAAUUUUCUACAAUAUCCAACACACAAAUAUAACAGAAGAGGAAACUUUUACUUAAGCAGCACAAAAUGAUAUCCUCUGCAUUUCAUUCCAAAAUCCAUCACUCUUAUGUCUUUGCCUACACAGUUUUUCUUCCAACAUAGCCUGCCAUGAUGAUAGCACUAUCAAUAAUUAAGACAUAAAGAAAGGCUAUCCUAGCUAGGUAUUAUCAUUGGAGUAAACCAACAACACCAUAAGUAAAGUAGCAGACCAAUUCUUUGUAGAAUUGAUGUCUUAACAUGUUUAAGUAGCGAAAAGAUUACAACACAUUGGAUGUGUUAACACAUCCACAAGCUGAUGACUCCCUCUCCGGUUUACCGCAUCAUUCUUAAUGUAUUCAACAAUGCAGCAGCAAUUAAAAGUCCUUGGAAAAUGCCAAGCUACUAUAAUGACAUAACGAAAACUAUAUCUCACCUUACCCCCUUGUUGGCAUAGACAGCAUAUCCGUCCUUGUUCGGGGUGAAUCAUAAUCCUGAACUCAAGCAUCAUCAUCGUCGAGAAUGUCAAACUGUAAAUCAACCAUGCAUGGAACAAAACUUAGAAAUUAAACAAUUAUCAAAGCUUGUGAAGAAUGCUAAACCCAACUAAUUCGAAACAUAAAGUAACCUGAAAGAGAGAAAACUUAUAAAUUUUACAUAAAUUAUAAUCCUUAACAGAAGGAUGGAACAAAACAGGUUCAUUCUUGAGAAUAGAUGUAAUUUUGCACAUUGCAUAUAUGUAGAUUAAGGACGGUGGUAACAUACCUUGUAAUUUGUACAAAUUAGGAUUUUCAUUCAAAGAACUAUAAUAUACACAAUUACAAAAAAAGUGAUUCAAACUUGUUCUCCUCUUAAGGAAAUUACUCACCAUUAAAUGGACGAAGUUUUGGCUUCCCUUUCCGGCUAUAUUUGAUUAACCUUUUUUUAAUCCAAUGAGUGCCUUCAUGAAAGAGAAAGAGAGGAAUAUUAGGUGAAAAGUAUUGCCAAAUCACACAGAGAUCAAAAUCUUGAAUAGAUAUGUUUAACCAUAUCAAAGUGAGUGUGUGAAAGGGUGUAGUCUGCAGAAAGGGCAACAUUUUCACUGCUAGAAAGUUGGAAACUAAACUUUUACACAGAUAUUGGAUUUUAUUAUUUCCCUCCACGAAUUGAAAAGAAAAUUGUUCGAGUAAUGCAGGUAAAUUCGAUAUACAUAUGCGUUGAUCUAUGUAAGACGGUUAUAAGUUAUAACUAUAUCGUCUUAACACAAAAAUGAUCAUAAAUGUAAGUGUCUGUAUUAUGGAAGUAAGGGACUUACAACAAUUGCUAUGAGAUCUAACAGCAAUCAAUCCAAGUACCCUAUUACGGAAGUAAGGGACUUAUAUCAAUUGCUAUGAGCUCUACCAACAGUCUCUCAAAGUGGUGCAAGGGCUAAAAUUAUAAAUAAAAGUAAUUUAAACAAUUUAACUUAAUAAAAUAUUGUAAUUUAAACAAUGCCUAUAUAUUCAAACAUCCCAAAACAGGAAUGAACUUCUAGAAAACAUGCGCAUGAAAAUAAACAGCAUUACUAACCCAUUGAGUUGGAUCAUCAAACUGGAGCGUUAGAAGGAUCAUCAUGUACCUAUGAAACCCAAGGGAAAAUUUUAGCAACCCCAAAGCCUGUAUGCAAGUGUGAAUAAGUAUGCGUGUAUGAAUCUAUUCAUAGUGAAGAAGGCUACCUUAAUAAAUAUUUGCAUCUGCAGCUUCAUAUGGUCAUACAACAAAAAGCACCGCAUAUGAUAACAAACCCCAGCUCCACCACAAAAGGAAUAGGAUCUUCCUCUCAACUUGUAUUUGCAAUUGUUACUGUAACAUCUGCAGACAGCAUACAUAAGCACUUAUUCGAUAAUUCUAAAGAAAAAAAGUUCUUGUUCGAUAAUGCACCAAAUCCUAUCCAAAAACCAAAGGGGUGCCAUAUCCCUAGAUUAACAGAGCAUCUUUCUUUGUUCCAAAACAAAUUGCAAUUGGCUUUGGUAAAGUAGAAAGAUUACCAGACACCGACUGUAUUCCAUUAUUUGAGCAUUUUACUGUCCUUUUAGUUCUAUCUCUCAACAUGGGAAAUACAAUAAGACAGUAAAAACAAAAGUUACUGAUAGCUAUUACAUAGUGAAAGAAAAUAAGACAUUCACAUAGUGAUAGCUAUUUACUGUCCUUUCUCAUCAUAAUCUUGGCCCCUAUAUAUAUACUGAAUUUUGAAAGCAAUGAGAGAAAUAUACCUUUGGGGCGUCAAUGCCAGAAGGGUGAGUGAGGGAUCUAAGAUGUUUGAGAGCAGGAAUUUUUAAGUAAUUUGUGUGAAAAAAGUUGAAGAGCUUCGAACAGAGUGGAGUGGGUUGGCCUGGGCUAAAAUAAAGAGGAUGAACUCUAGAAAGUAGAAAAUGUUGUUGUUCAACCAAACUCAAAAGUAACGAAACCAUACAAUUAACAUAUAAAUAAGUUAUAUAUCAAUGUUUACAUGUACGUUGUUUGAGAAGGUAAAUUAGCAACAUAUACAGUGAUCAAAAGAUUAACAACAAUAAACUGCUCAUUAUUCGAAAUAUACAUGAAAGUUGUCAUUCACAUGAUCCAAAUGGUAGAGGAAAAAACAGAAGGAAGCAAAUAUUAUAGCAGCAUAAGUUGAAUAAUUGCAGAAAGUAAACAAAUAGAAAGGCUAGCUAGAUUACACAAUCUAGUUCUAGGUCGGACUAACCAGGUUAGCCAUCCGCUCACUACCAGCACCGUCGGCGUCUUAUUAAAAAUGUAGAAUAGAAGACUCAAAAACUGGAAAUGAAAGCAGGUAACAUUGAGUUUUAAUAACCAAAAAGGGACACUGUUUAAGCAGCUCCACAGCAGCAACUAUACUUGGACGAUGAGCUGCAAAAACAGAAAAGAAAACACAAAUUAAACUAAAAAAAUAUAAAAUUUAACACUAAUCCAAGGAUUAAAUAUCAAAUAUAAAGUCAUUAGGAUUGGGACCUUUGCAUUGAGGAAUAUCUACUACAUUAUGAGUUCCCUCCUGAUAAAGCCCAAUCAGGGGGUUUUCCGGUGAGCCAAGAACGGCUAACUUUGCGCGACACCGCUGUGGAUGCAAAUUUCUUCCUCCUCGAUCUUGGACGAUUUUGCACCUACAAAACAAUUAACACCUUAGGUUAAGACCAAGAGCCUCACGCGCCCACGAUGAAUGGGGGGGGGGCUUUGGCCGAAGAACCUCCGAUGCCAAAGUUAGAAUUUAGAGAGAAAGAGUGUUUAGAGAAUUUUGGGAUUUUUGCCAAAGUGUUGGAAUUAGCUUUUUGGUGAGAAUGGGAGUAUAUUUAUAGGGAUAGGAGGUGGCUAGGGUUUUUAGGUUUAAUUAGCCAAUUUAUUUGGCUAUUAAACAUAAAAUGAAUGUUUUGGUGGUUUUUUGUAUAAUUGGCUAAUAAAAAGGAAGAAAUGGUGGGAAAAGGUAGAAAAAAGGUAAUGGAUUAGGUUUUUCAAUGGGAUAGCCGGCCCUCUUGUGUUUUUAGGUUUGAGUGGAUGUUUCAAAUUGACAAUUAAGGGAUUGAUUAGGUAAUUAAUCCCUUAAUUAGUCAAUUAUUAUGAUUUUAUGAAAUAUGAAAGGAAUAAGUAUAUUAUUUAGCUAAUUGAUUAGCUAAAUAAUGAAAUGGGAAAUAUAUGAAUAAAUUAGGUUUUAAGUUGAUACCUAUUUUGGGCACUUUUGACUUGGUUGAAAAAAUGAUUCUCUACUGCUCGCGUGUAGGAAACCCGGUAUGCCUCGAGGGUAUUUUUGUCCUCUUUUGUCCAAAAGUCCACCUGUCGCCUAGUGAAUAUUUUUGGCUCCACAAAUGCCCCCACACCUGUUGGGCUGCUCGCAAAAAAAGGGCAGCAGGUGUAGAGAUCUUCUUGCUUUAGGAAACUUAAGACUGCUUCCUAUUUUGAUGUUGAUUCUCUCUUUAAUAGGAAAUUAGAUCCUUCUAGGAAAGGGAAAUAAAUUUCUCUCAAAGCCUAUUUAACUCCACCUUAAGUGGGUUAUUAAAUCAACUUUGGAAAGCAAUUUAUUCUACCCUACAAGAGAGAGAUAGCUUAGAGGAUAUUUGUUCCCCCUCCUCUAGCAAUCUUCUACAUCUUGCCCGUGCAAAGGACCGUCUUUCGUUGCUUUCUUCGUCUUCUUCGUGCCGCACCGAUGUAAGAAAAAUUUAAUUUUUCUUGCCUUAUUCUUGGAUAGUGCUAUUGCGGGGCAGUCGUCGGGGUGGUGCGGCACAUCGGCUGGCAGGGGCCAGGAGUUGGCUCGGCAUGGGCCGAGGAGAUGUUGUGGCAGGGACCACUGCUUGGGCAGCUUGGCUUGGCUUGAGCCAAAAGGCAGCUUGUGCAACUAGGGUCGCGGAUUGUGGCGCUGGGGCGCAGUGCUAGGCGAGCCGCAUGGCUCAUGUCCUUUGGGCUCUUGGACCUGACUCGGGCCAGGCUGGUGAUUGAGAGAAAUAAAGAGAUUGCGGGUCUCAUGGGCUGCUGGAAUGUUGGGCAUGCAGGCCUCCUGCCUGUUGGAAUGCUGGGUUGAGCUCCCCUACUGAGUACCAUGAAUGUAGUUGGCUGCUUAGUCCUCUUUGCCGAAAGAAAGGUGGGUUGCUCCAGAAAGAGGAGGUAAAGAGGAUCAAGGCGGAUGCAUUGGCUCGUCUGAUCGCUGUCGUGGAGCUUACUAUGAAUGAAGAUGGAAAGAAGAGAUCUUCCCCGCCUGCUCAUGAGAUGCCAGUUAAGAAAAAACUGAAGACUUCUUCUGCUGCUCAUGAGGGUCCGCUUGCUACCGAGAGGUAUGUGAUUGACAUGAUUUUCCAAUGGGAAGAAAUGUAAGGCUGCUAGAUCUGAGCAUGUGGCGUCUUCCAUGUUGAGAAUGGCUAGUACAAUUGUGGAUAAGAUUACUCAGCGUAAAGGUUUUAUCAUGCCCCCAGUGCCGAAGUCUGUACCAGGACGUUCUUUGGGAGCCAAGUCUGGUUCACCUUUGUAGAGACUUGCUAUUAUGAAGAGUGGUAAGGUGGACUCUGCUGCUAAAGUGGCGCCAAAAGCCUGCUCCCUUUGCUGCUGAGAUUGAUUCGCCUCAGAUUCAAGAUCUUAAGCUUGCAAUUUCUGAGCUUCGUUUCGCUACUUAUGCUAAGAAGAGAGUGGAUGAGCUUCUCUAUUUCUCCGGAAGACUUGCUUGCUUUUACUUUUAAGGCUUCCAUUGGUGAAGUAGUUGGAGAAGUUAGUGCCCAGACUGGGGCAGCCGGGGGUGAAGCGCCGGAUGAUGCCGCUGCUAAGAGCGUUACGGCUGUUGAAGGUGUGGCGACCGAGUAGUCGUGGAAUGUCCAAGCUGCUGUAGUGUAGUAUUUUAGGUAGCCUUUAGGAUUUUCUUUGUUUUUCCUUGUAGCUUUUGUUCUGCUUGAACUCCUUCAACCUUUGCUAGUUGUUUAUAAACAUGUUUUCCUUCGUUUUUCUUCAUCUUCACUUCUUUUGUUCAUGCCCUAACCUUUAGACUUGAUAGACCAGUGGCAGGCAUGCUACUUUUUUAUAAGCAGACAAACUCGCGUAGCCUAUGCAGCCGUAGAUGUUGGUGUAGAACUUUGCAAAGUUGUUAGCCAUAGGGUUGGCAGCCGGAUGCCUUACUUACAGAAGCAGAGCAAGUAUCACAUUACGCGUAACCACUAGGCUGUUAACUUUGACUUUCUUCAAUUCCAUAGGUUGCGUAGCAAGUAUCACAACACUUUAGGACUUGGUGUAGGUUGUUCCGCGCUUGGCAGAGGUGAAGCUUAUCGACUACGUAGCAUGUCGGCAGUGGAUAAAACUUCGUAUAUGCGCGCUAGCUUGUCUAACCUUUCACAAGAAUGUGCGGUUGUAUAAGUCUAGUGCGGCUUUACUGCUCGAAGGGCAAGCCGUAGGCAAUCUUCCGGAAUCCGUAGGUUACCUUAGUGCACUCGGUAGCAGCUUUAGGAUUCCAGGGCAGCCGUCCAUCGGAUGUACUGCGUAAUGUGCCCUCUCCGUCUCUAGGGCCCGGUUCCCCACGGAUUAGGCCAAGAGACCCAAAAUCCUUCAGUUAGCUAAACCUUGAAAAAGACCAUUGCGGCUACUUCUAGGAAUCCCGGCGCAAGCCAUCGUGCAUCUAGUUAUACUAGGGCAGCCAGGCUCAUCCACGUCUGGAUAUUCGGAGUGUAAAGUUUAUCCUCCCGUCUUGGAGAGCUGACCCAUAUGGGUGUUGGAGAAUUGGUUUACCCUCUCGCACUGGAGAGCAUGGUUGGUCCCUCGGGGGGCGCAAUUCCUGCGAUAAGUCCCUAAGAAGGGUGCAGUCUUCUUUUGAAGUGCAAGAGUGAUUAGUUGUUGUAAGCAUGCAGCCAAGCCAAGUUGUGAUUACUUCUAAAUUCCUCAUUGAAAAACGAGUGAAACGAACGAGAACUUUAGCUGUAAAGUAGGAACUGCAUAACAACUGGAUAGUCCUCAGCUUGUGAGGUGGUGCCCGUCGAGCUUAUUGAGUCUUCGGGUUUUGAUGUAGCGGGAGGUCACACAUGGUACUUCUUCAGAUUGUAGGCCAUCCAUUUUUUUUUCAAUCUUUUUGCCGCUUCAUGGUGGUGAGGGUGUAAUUACUCUUGCCCCCUACUCUGCUGAUCUUGUACGGACCUUCCUAGAUGGGAUCCAUCUUUUUGGAGCCUUCUCUGCCGGCAGUGAUGAAGGCUUUUCUGCGCCGUCGACAUGCAAAUGCCAGAAGUCUCCAUCGGGUGGAGUAGGCGCAGCUAGAGUGUGCUCGGCUACUUCUGAGGCAUCGUUGGGCCGCUCUGUUGCGUCACCUAGGCUCGGCGUGAAGGCGCAGUAGGGAGCUAUGGAGAUGGGGCCAUGUCAUACGCAACAGGAGAUGCUCAACUGCGGGUAUUGGGCCACUCUAGAGUUGAAUCAUUGAGCAAAGGUCGGCUAGGGCCGUGUGAUGCGCAACAAGAAAUGGUACUCAACUGCCGUUACAUGUUGCUCCUAUGUAGAAUCCUUCAGGGUGACGAGGACAAAACUUGCUUUCAAGUGUAUCUUUCCAGUGUUACGUUCGUCAGAAAACUUUACAUCCGCCAGGGUCUACGCCUUUAUCGUCGCGCGUCUGGAUUGGGCAGAAUAGUACGUCAUUAAGAUGAUUGCAUGCGUUUGAAAGUAAGAUUUGUGUUUCUAGGUUGCAACAACUAUCGCCAAAGUUAACUUUUGAAUUUUUAAUAACAUCGAUGAGAGCUUUUGAACUGUAGAAUACAGGUAACUGUGGAAUACAGGUAGUCGGGCCCCCAUCUCUUCUCGCAUGAUGGUAGAGCUUAUUGCUACUUUAGAUAACGUCAAACAUGUGAAUAAGUCCUCCGCUGCUUCUAGGGAGGUGAUGUCGGGUACUUCUUCAAGUUCUUGAAUGUGCAUUGGCGAGCCUCAUCCCAAAGUGCAUACUUCUCUGCCAAAGCAAAAGAGUCUGCCAGAGUUAGAUCUUCUUUCAUGAUCAAUUUUCCGAAUAGCGGGUGGUCUGCUGGAAGUCCUUUUUGGAAGGCUGCUCUAGCUAUCGAGUCGUUGCAUCCGACUAUUUUUGCCUUCUCUACUUUGAACCUCCUCACAUAGUCGCGAAGCGACUCCUUUGGGUUCUUCUUGACGUUGAACAAAUGAUCAGACUUCUUUUUUAUUGAGCGAUAGGAUGAAUAUUCUUUGGUGAAAACCAAAGAAAGUUCGUAGAAAUCCCAGAUGGAUUGUGGCGGCAGGGUGUAGAACCAAUCUUGCGCCUCGCCUUGUAGAGUAGUGGCGAAUAUCUUGCACAUGAGCUCAUCGUUGUUUCGAUAAAGGAUCAUUGCGCUUCGGUAGCGCUUUAAGUGUCUCUCCGGGUCUUCAUCCCCUUUGAAAGAUGUGAAAUGUGGCAUGCUGAACUCUCGUGGAGGCUCUGCCUGCUCGAUCUCGUCCGUGAAGGGUGACCUGCUUAUGUUGGUCAUGUUCCGUCGUAGUGCCUCGUUGGUGACCUCGUUGCGUUGGAAAUCAUGCAAUCGCUUGGUCAAGAGUCUCUCUACUUCUUCCUGAAUUUGCCUUUGUUGGGGGUAGUGCAGCUCUCGGCUGCCCCCAGCCAUGACUUGCUGGUCUAGGCUGCUCUUCCAUGUGUUUUGGCUCGUCUAUGCCGCAGAUGCAGUGCAUAUGGUGCAUUCCUAGCAGGCGAGCGAGUUCUUCGCAGGCUGCUGGUUAAACUUGAGCUGGAUUGAGUGACUGCUUCUCUCCGUCCGUCGUGCUGCCUACUCUGAUGUGAGGUGGAUGAUGCUCCUUGUGGGCUUAGCCGCGAAUGAACAUUUUGUCUGGAAGGUUGCUCAUGUUGACUAUCGGAGUGUGACCCCAACCGUGAAUGUAUGCUCAUCCGUGGGCCUAGUCGAGAGUACACGCUCCUCCGCGCGCUAAGACGAGAGUAUACGCUAUCUCGGGGGCCCAAUCGGGAAUGUACACUGCCUGAACGUUCAGCUCGUGGCUGGUCGAAUGGCUGCUUGCUGGGAUGCUGCUGGAAAGGUUCGUCUGCCAUUGUCCUACUUCGGGAUACCUCAUCCGGGGCACGUUGGAUCCCGAUGCGUUGCAAAAGUUGAUUCACCAAAGUUGUCUGUUGUGCAAGAGUGCUCGUCAACUCUAUGACUUGUCGAGACAAGUGUUGUUCGCCAUUUGGAUUGGAAGAGCUUGGAAGGAAUGCGCCUCCUUGAGCAGUGGAAGGGUGGUAGACUCCGGGCGCGAGAUUUGAGUUGGGAAAUGUCAAAUCAGCGAAAAAAUGUGGUGAGAAUGCCCCCGGCUCAAUGGUAGGUCCAGAUGGUUGAGAUAGUUUUGGGCCGACUUGGGCUGCUUGGAAAGCCACGGGAGCAGUGUGGGCCUUAAGAGUGGGCUGCUCGUCGGGAGUGGGCUGCUCGUUGGGAGCAGGCUGGGUCACGAGAGCAGGCUGCUUGGCAGGAGCAGGUUGCUUGGCGGGAGCAGGCUGGGCCACGGAAGCAGGCUGCUUGGCAGGAGCAGGUUGCUUGGCGGGAGCAGGCUGGGCCACGGAAGUAGGCUGCUUGGCAGGAGCAGGCUGGGCCACGGGAGUGGGCUGCUUGGCAGGAGCAGGCUGGGCCACGGGAGUGGGUUGCUCGACGGGAGCAGGCUGCUCAAUGCGCGGUGCAUGUGAAUGCGAGGCUUGGGCUUGGGUCCACGUGAACUUGGAUGGCACGGCUUGGAUCGUGGUCUUGGUACCGUGAGCCUUGGAUGGCACGGCUCGGGCCGUGGUGAAGGCUCCAUGGACCUCGCCACGAGUGGCUACCGAAGUAGCCAUCGUGGUGGUUCCCAUGGUGGCCGUGGUGAAGGCAUCAUGGACCUGUAGCCACCACGGUGGUUCCCAUGGUGGCCGUGGUGAAGGCAUCAUGUGGAAGCUCGUGGUGAUGAUGCCGCUCCCCUUAUUGUCGCAUUUUGCCUUACGGAUCUCCGGGUCGUGGUGAAGGCUCCAUGGACCUCGCCACGAGUGGCUACCGAAGUAGCCACCGCGGUGGUUCCCAUGGUGGCCGUGGUGAAGGCACCAUGGACCUCGCCGCGGGUAGCUACCGAAGUAGCCACCACGGUGGUUCCCAUGGUGGAAGCUCGUGAUGAUGAUGCCGCUCCCCUUAUUGUCGCAUUUAGCCUCACGGAUCUCCGCAAUCCCAUUUCUUGAACAUUAGAAUUUUCACUUGUGGAAUUUUCUAAAUUUCUAGCCAUUAUAUUUUGCUUAUACGUUUUAUCAAAGAACCUUUGCAAGUAAAAAAUUCUAAUAAUAAGAACGUAUGAAAAAUAUUCAAAUGGACUAGAAAAUAAAGAAAAAACCUUUUUUGUGCAAGAGUCUUCUACGAGUAUGGAUUUCAACUCUCAAUGAAAGCACCAAUUUGUGGAUGCAAAUUUCUUCCUCCUCGAUCUUGGACGAUUUUGCACCUACAAAACAAUUAACACCUUAGGUUAAGACCAAGAGCCUCACGCGCCCACGAUGAAUGGGGGGGGCUUUGGCCGAAGAACCUCCGAUGCCAAAGUUAGAAUUUAGAGAGAAAGAGUGUUUAGAGAAUUUUGGGAUUUUUGCCAAAGUGUUGGAAUUAGCUUUUUGGUGAGAAUGGGAGUAUAUUUAUAGGGAUAGGAGGUGGCUAGGGUUUUUUAGGUUUAAUUAGCCAAUUUAUUUGGCUAUUAAAACAUAAAAUGAAUGUUUUGGUGGUUUUUUUGUAUAAUUGGCUAAUAAAAAGGAAGAAAUGGUGGGAAAAGGUAGAAAAAAGGUAAUGGAUUAGGUUUUUCAAUGGGAUAGCCAGCCCUCUUGUGUUUUUAGGUUUGAGUGGAUGUUUCAAAUUGACAAUUAAGGGAUUGAUUAGGUAAUUAAUCCCUUAAUUAGUCAAUUAUUAUGAUUUUAUGAAAUAUGAAAGGAAUAAGUAUAUUAUUUAGCUAAUUGAUUAGCUAAAUAAUGAAAUGGGAAAUAUAUGAAUAAAUUAGGUUUUAAGUUUAUACCUAUUUUGGGCACUUUUGACUUGGUUGAAAAAAUGAUUCUCUACUGCUCGCGUGUAGGAAACCCGGUAUGCCUCGAGGGUAUUUUUGUCCUCUUUUGUCCAAAAGUCCACGUGUCGCCUAGUGAAUAUUUUUGGCUCCACAAAUGCCCCCACACCUGUUGGGCUGCUCGCAAAAAAGGGCAGCAGGUGUAGAGAUCUUCUUGCUUUAGGAAACUUAAGACUGCUUCCUAUUUUGAUGUUGAUUCUCUCUUUAAUAGGAAAUUAGAUCCUUCUAGGAAAGGGAAAUAAAUUUCUCUCAAAGCCUAUUUAACUCCACCUUAAGUGAGUUAUUAAAUCAACUUUGGAGAGCAAUUUAUUCUACCCUACAAGAGAGAGAUAGCUUAGGAGGUGGAGGCUCUUGAUAGAAGAUUGGCAUUGGAGUCGUUUUCAAAGUUAGUUUCUUCAUGAACAUCCUAAUGUCAGCUUCUAGAGUUUCCUGUAAAAGAACAGACAACAUUCAUAAUAAGAAAAUCCCUCUCUGCAAUCGCAGAAAUCCCUCGGGUUUAAGGAAGCAAAUAGAAAACGAAAUGCUUUCCUCCCAUCUCUCUCUCUCUCUCACCUCUGUCCCAUCUCCUGUCUGCAAAUCGCAGAAAAGAAACCCUAAACAAAUCCCUGAAAUCCCUCGCCUAAAUCCUCCCACAUUUCUCUCGGACACCCCCCUCUUUCUCUCUGCAAACCCUAAACCAAAUCUCCUAAAUCCUAUCUUUGACACCCCACAUACAGCCAAGAAGCCAAGAUAUUAAAGCAAUAUCUACAUAAUACUUUGGAACAAUGAAGUAAAAUGGUACUUACUUGUUCCUUGUCCAAAACCGUUGGUGCCACCGCACUUUGUUAUCAAUUGUGGGUUGAUCAAAUCCUUCAUGGCUUAGACUGCAUGAAGAAUUAGAAACUAAAAGAUGAAUAUAUGCCGUAAAUCAUCAUAUAAAUGUAACUGCAUUUAAAAAAAGAAGGGAAUGGAAAAAUUGAAUUCUAUUUCAUCAGUAUGUAACUGCAUGAAAAGUUACUUUGAAUGCAGACUCGAUCAAUUUCCCCAAAGUCAUUGUUAACUGAAAAUCAAUACCAAACCCAUAAAUACCACAUUGAAUUUGGCAAAACCCAAAAACAAAAUUGCAAAAAUUUACUCAUAAUCACGGAAAAACAUGAAACUUAAGCACCCAUUUGGCCAAGUUAAAGGAUAAAGGCACUCACAUCAUCGUAUUACUCUUUGGGAAGAUCUUCUAUUAUUGGUUCUUCCUUUUUCUUGCUCUUCCUCAGAACUGCCAUAAAAACCCCAGAGAAGCACACGAAUUCAGAAAAGAAAAUGUCCAAAACUGCCAUAAAAAAAAUCCAGAAAGCAUACAAAUUUAUCAGAAAGAAAAGUUCAAAUUACAAAAACCAAAUGAUGUGAGUGAGUAGUGAGAGGUUGUGUUAGGCACCUGAAACACGUUUUGGUUUCAAUUGAAAAGGCCAGAGCCAUGCAUGCGAGGAAGAUGACGACAGGAUUCCAGAGACAACAUCCACAUUCUUUUUUCAUGGGUGAACUAACCACAUCAUAUUAUAUACUAAAACGACAUAAAAAAUCAUUCACAAACUCACAACAAAAUAGAACAAAAAGAUUCACAAAAGAUUUGGGAGUUGGGACGCUAACAAAAACAUUUAUUUUCUAAACAAAUACACAACCGCUAAUCUGGGUUUGGUCAGUUUGACUAAAACGGUGCGCUAUUUUGCAUCUAAAUAUAGUAUAUCGCUUAAAUAAAAUUAAAAAAAUAUACACAUCCAAUGCUUUUAGUCUAAAGCUAGAAUUAGGAAUAACUGAGUAAGUUAAUGAAGGCAAAGCAGAGGGUAGGAAGCAGAACAUACCAAGAGACCACUAGGCCAUCGGGGCCGGUCUGCCGAUAAAUGCCGUGUACUGGUCGACAACGCCCAACGGAGUCGGCGCAGCAAAGAAGUAAAAGUCGAAACCACCCCCAAUGACCUUGUAGGUGAGAGAAUUCCCUCUGUAGAACACAUCCAUGCCAUUGUUGUUGAGCAGCAGAACGGAGUGCGCGUAAGCCUCGUUGCCCACAUUCCAGAGAUCCAUGUAAACUGGGUGGGACCCAUACAAAUCAGUGUUGAGAUUGAUCGCCGAGACGUCAGUGGUGAAGAGGAUGUAUGGAUCGUUCGGGUAGAGCUUGAUCCCGUGCGGCUGAGAGUUCUCUCCGAGGCCGUACAGGGAGGAGUCUUUCGGCAGUCGGGUGGAUAUCUCGAGGUACUGGUCCUUAAACACCAGUACUAGUCCAAUAAAACGCUCUGCUUUAUUGAUUUUCAAUUCAUGUUCAUUCGGGUCCCAAACAAGACUGAACGGCCCCGGAGCCGGGUUGUAGGUAUCUACAUAUGAUACAAGUGCCCAGAUGUGGCCAUCACUGCGGUUGACACCUAACUUCAUACCCGGUAAAAAUGUGUCUCCAGGAUAAUCACUUCGGCAGAUCGAGGGUGAUUUGAGAUGUUUUCCAGCUAAAUUGGACUUCGACCCAAGUAUGAAAGUUGUUUCUCUUAUCGAGAUCUUCAUUCAUGUAAAAUUUGGGAAUUUUAGAAUUGUUGAAUUCUUCGGCGAGUCAGGCCUGCCGACCACCUCGUGCUUCGGCGCAUGGCCCUUUGGCCGCCGUCCUGUGGCGGCUCGUGCGGCGAUGUAUGCAGGAAAACCUGAGGUUCCUCCUUAGGUUUUUCGACGUACCAAACCCGAAUCCGCCGUCCUUUUUCCAAAAUUCUAACAUUUUCAUAGAGUUUUAUUAAACGACCUUUAAUUGUGUUUAGGUGCAUUGGUGGAAUUGACCUCAUGCUUGUUGGUUCGAGCAGCUUUCGGGCAAUGGAAAACUUGUGAGUGGACCCCUUCUAAACUUAUAUAUUGUUAUAAAAUAUUAGCCUAGCAUGCAUUCCAUAUUUCAUGAUUUGAAUAUGAUUUAUAAUAUGCUUUAUGGACUUUUAUAAUUAUGGUUUACGAAAUAGUUUGAUUUAUCGAAAUUAUGUUUUAUUAGGUAUUGAAUUAUUGGAUUUGCAUAUAUGGAUUUCUAUGGUUUUCGAAUACGAUUUAUAUUACGGUUUUACGAACAUGAAUUAUUUUAUGGAUUUCAUUAAUACAAUUUAUCUUGGAUUUAUGAGAUGAGACUUUGAGCUAGUGAGCUCCGGGUUUGAUAUGAGUUUUGAGAUAUGUUUUUGGUACUUAUCUAGUGGGUUAUCAUACGGCACAUCCGCACACCACGGGUAUAGAUGUGUAUGGCCAUAGGUCACAGAUGAUGAGGAGGAGUAAGAGAUAUAUUAUAUACCCCCAGUUCACUGUCAAAAGCAGUGUCAGAUAACUUCACUAGCCAUGGCUAGUCGGUAUGGAUGUUAUGCUAUUUCAUACAGCUUCACCUUCGGGUGAUAGACAAGUUAUUUAGCUUCACCUUCGGGUGAUGGACAAGUACUACCUUCGGGCAACUAUGAUAGCCUUAGUUUCACUGACAAGAUUUACAGAUUUGCCUUCGGGCGACAACAUUUUCAUUAUCAAAUAUUGGAUUUUACAUAUCUACCUUCUAAAUGGAUUUUCAUGGCAUGCUAGGGUUUUUCAUAAAAUUUAUAUGUAGUAUUAUAUAUGUUUUCAAAACAAGGGGUUAUUAUGUUCAUAAAUAAAAUGUUUUCCUAUUAUUAGUAUUAUUAAUAUAAACUUUGGUCCACUCACAUUUUCAAUUUUUGCGCCUCCUCAGGAGUUAGGAUCGAGGCACAUGAUCCUGGCAUCAUGGCGUGUUGAUAUAGGUAUCCUUGAAUCUUCUCAUUGUAGGUAUCAUUCCCUUAUUCAUAUCUUUUUAUAGUGAUUCUUCCCUAUUAUUUCUAAUUAGUUGUAUGCUCUGAACACAUUCCCUCCAUGGACUCUGGAGGCAUGUAACCACUGCACCAAAUGGAAAAAGAAAAAAUAGUAAGUAUACUUAUCUGCAAAAAUGCGUGUUUAGCAAUCAAAAGGGGAAGACCAUGUCAAUGUGAUGCCGAAAUACUUACCGUGUCCCGACAAUCUUGCUAGUGUUUGCUUCCAAUUCAUUUUGGGUGCAAAUCCUUGCCAGACCAAAAUCUGAAAUUUUUGGGUUCAUGUUUUCAUCAAGUAGUAUGUGUUCGUGGCAGGAAUUUCCGCCGGGGAUGCUUUCCUGGCCAACGAGCACACAGCUCCCCUGGGAGGUCGGCGCCGGUUGAGGCUGCUGUCAGGCUUCUACUUCGCGGUCGGGCUUUCUCGGGCAAGACUUGUCGGGCAAGUCUCGUCGGGCAAGACUCUUCGGGUAAGGCUCUUCGGGCAAGGCUGAAAGAGAAGGACAACAUUAACUUUGAGAGGUGCCUUUGUGGGGCCUUAGGUGUAGGCCUUGAGGCUCACAAUCAAGGUUAACAUUUAAGUGCUCAGGCGUGCCACUGCCAUCUUUAGCAUGGCAGAUGUAGAAUGGUUGUCGUGCUUUAGUUGUAUAUAUGUAUGUAUCCAAGAAACCGUGUUAGUUAUAACAAGUGCCUUUGUGGGGCCUUAGGUUUAGGCCUUGAGGCUUCCCAUAAAUAACUAAACCAGUGCUCGAACACAUCAUAUUUAUUCUUGCGAUUGUAGGAGUUUUCUAACUAUUAUACUUCUGAUUACCCGAAUCCAAGAAGUAGAAUGAACCCAAAUAGGUGCCUUUGUGGGGCCUUAGGUGUAGGCCUUGAGGCUUCCCAUCAGAGUUCAUUCUUAUACUUAGACUCUUUAGAUCGCAGAACGGAAUGAAUCCAAAUGGAUGCCUUUGUGGGGCCUUAGGUGUAGGCCUUGAGGCUUUCCAUCAGAAUCCAUUCCAUGCUCAAGCGUUCUAUGGAAAUCAUGAUAUAAUAGAAACAAAACCAAGAGGUAGGUCGAUUACUUGCGCCCCAAGUAACUUCGGACUUCUCGUUUAUCAAGGAUUGUCGUGGAUGGGUUGAGUCCACAUAAAGUUCUUUUUUAUGCCUUGAGGCCAAGGACUUUUAAACUAAUCAUUUUUUACAUGCCCGAAGGCUUAGGACUUGGAUCUGAUUUAAAUACUGAAGAUAUAUUCAAAUCGGAUCCAAGUACUGAGAAAACUUUGUCAUCGUGAUUUUGCUAGAAACAACUUGCAUAUAACUGGAAGUAUACAACAUAUUGCUAGAUUUUAAAGAAAGACAAGACAAAGACAGAGCAAAGCAGGUCGGGCAAGAUUAAACCUUAUCAAUUAAGGCUGAUCGUCUUGCAGGUCCCUAUCUUUGUAGUUUUGUCAAAGGUCUGAAAGCUUAGAGGGGGAGAGGGGGAAAGGAGAAUAUAAAAGGUGAAUCAAUACUACAACAAGUUCGAACAAGGUAGCAGAGCUAUUACAGAGGUUGGGAGAAAAGAUUAUCCCGCGGGGGAUGAAGGCUUGUCCCGAAUGGGAUGAAGGCUUGGGCUGACUACAGCUUCGUUUUGAAAGGCAAAUCUGGCUUUUUUAGCAGAGUUUGUGCUUUUGUUUGUUUGAUUGAGUGUCUUUAUUCCUGUCUUCUCUUCCUCCUUUUAUAGACGACUCGGUUUGGCUCCUGUAGCGACAGCUUUGCCUGAAUGCGGUCUGAGGGUGAUGACUCAUCAGCUUUAUUACAUGUAAUGCCACCAUAAAGUACUUUAUGGGCUGUGCAGUCUGAUCAGUCUACACCACUUGGUCCUUGGGUAGGUAGGCAAGUGGCCCUUAUGAAUUGUAUCAAGUCAGAAAAAGCCCUUUCCUGUUUUCCUAAGUUUCGGCCGGGCCUUGAUCUUCUAUUCCUCCAGGCCUCCUUUUGGGCCGACUCCAUCCUUGGGCCAAAAAUCAAGUUUUAAUCCAAACAGUGCCCCCUUCAAUUAAUGUGAAGGUUGGAAUCCCAGGCGUCGACAUUGAUUGAAUACCCGCAUGCAUGCAUAUCCGUCCUUGGGAAUUUAUGCUUCCGGUGCCCUUUGCUCUUCUCACGACCCUUGAACUGUCCUUUGGGCCCUAUAAAAUCUAGCUCGGGACUUCUCCUAUCAAACUACCAAAUCCCCUUUAGCUCUGGCCUUCAACUUCCAUCCAUCUUGAGCGUUCUUGUCUCCUCUUAGAAACUGAGAAAUGGGUUCCUCAGGUUUUGAGUGGAGUUUCCUAAAACUCCCCUUUCGCGAGAAAAUGAGGUUUCACCUGAUGACUGCUAUCUCCAACACCCUUGGUCAACCACCCCUCUAUCUCCAACACCCUUGGUUAGGCGGCUUCCUCUUGAUGGUUUGUCUUCCCGCAAGCUGCGGCGAUAAGUCGGGCUUCACCAUCACAUAUGGUGACAGCCCCGUCGGAGGAUCCUCUACCAAGCGCAUGUUGGCCGCACAACCCGAUCACCCGAUUGGGUUCCAUCCCUGAAGACAUCGGGAAACCAGCUGAAGACACCACCAUAUUCAGAGAGAAUCAAAUGUAAUACAUAGGAUUGAAAUUCUGUAAAUUUCAUCAAUUUGUCGACAUGAAAUAAAUACUAUUUUAGCAAUUUCUGUCUUUCUGCCUUCUUUGAAUGUUUGAUGAACAAAAACACUGCAUAUGAGACUCCCGAAGCCUGUUUCACUCUGCCCCCUCUUCAAUGUAACAAUCCCUAACAUCCCAUAAUGUAGGACAAUAUUUUUUUAAGAAUCUAACAUUAAUGGGAUGUUUCUGCCCAUUUCCUUCGAGGUCCGCUAGGUAGUAUCCUCCUUUAUUCAAAACUCGACUAAUAAUGAAAGGACCUUCCCAUGUCGGGCUCCACUUUCCAAAACCCCGAAGCUGAGCUCCCAGCGGGAGGACUGUUUUCCAUACUACAUCUCCCUCUUUGAAAGACUUUACCUUCACCUUCUUGUUAUAAGCUCGGGCAACAGCUAUCUUUCCUUCUUGAUCUGGUUCAAGGCUUCAAUUCGGGCUGCAUCCAGGUCUUCAAUACCUUGACACAUGGCUUCGAUAUAUUCUGCACUAUGUAACCCAAAUUGGUUUUGAAUUCUUACGGAACUAACGUUGAUCUCCAUGGGGAGCACUGCAUCUUGCCCGAACGUCAAGGCAUAAGGAGUUGUGCCUGUUCCCGCUCUUUUGGAAGUCCUGUAUGCCUACAACGUAUUCCCCAGCAUCUCGUCCCAUUUUUCUGGACUAUCUAUCACCAUUCUUUUAAUAAUGUUGACCAGGAUCUUGUUGCUAGCUUCGGCCUGCCCAUUUGACUGAAGGUAGUACGGACUGGAUUGGAUCAUCUUUAUCUUGUACUUGCUUGCAAACUCCUCGACUUCUUUUGAAAUAAAAGAUGGCCCAUGGUCUGUUACUAUAGUCUCGGGCACCCCAUAUCUGUGCAGGAUCUUGGUCUCGAUAAAAUUCUUGACUACGGCGGAAGUUAUGGAUUUUACUGCUGAUGCUUCCACCCACUUGGUGAAGUAAUCCGUUGCUACAAUUAUAAAAGUAUGCCCUUUACUAGAAGCUGGAUAAAUUUGCCUGAUGAAGUCCAUCGCCCAUCCUCGGAACGGCCAAGGCUUGACCACUGGAUUCAAAGGCACUGAAGGCACGUGUUGGAGAGGUCCAUGCCUCUGACAUUCUUCACAACCGCGGGCAUAAGACUUGUAAUCCUUUUCCAUAUCGGGCCAGAAAUAACCGUACCUUCUGAGUAGCCAUCUCAUCUUUGUCCCUGCUUAAUGUGCUCCACAUAUUCCCUCAUGUACUUCGGCCAUCACUCUCAUGGAUUCUUCUUGGCCUAAGCAUUUUAGUAGUAAUCCAUCUGGGGUUUUUCUUAGCAGGUUCUUCGCCCAUAAGACAUAUUUGGUUGCUUGCUGCCUAUUCUUCUUACUUGUAGGUGAAGAGGGAUCCUUCAAAUGAUGAAUGAUGGGUGCCCUCCAAUCUUCCAUCUUGGUUUCUAGAACCAUUACAUCCAAACUAAAUCCCCUGUCUAAGAUGGAAGGAAGGUUUCUUGUUUGGAUCUCGACAUCUAUUCCAUACUUUCUUUCCUGUAUUGGCACUCCUGAGGCUAGUUGCGCCAUUUCAUUGGCUGCUAAGUUAGACCCCCUAGGAAUAUGAUUAACUGAUAUCUCAGACUCACAGAAACUCAACAAUUGUGUUGCUGCCAUAUAGUACCCCGCCAUAGUGAUAUGUCUGCACUUGAACUUGCCAUUUAGCUGGUUUAUUACCAACUCUGAAUCACCAAAGACUUCUACUUCUGCUGCCCCCAAAUCCAACAGGAUUUCUAGACCAAUAAUCAAGGCCUCAUACUCUGCCCGAUUAUUAGUAUUUUCUUGGUAAUCGAGCAGGAAUGAGUAAUAAUGAUAAACCCCUUGAGGAUUUAUAAUCACAAUCCCAGCCCAUGCAGCCUUCUGAGUGUGGGAUCCAUCGAAAUACAACUUCCAAUGAGUAAUCCAGAGGCCCGUUACUCUUCUUAUCUCUUGCUGGAUCCAAUCUUCUUUGCCCGAAACAUCACUUCUUGGUGGGAUCCAAACGCUAGUAACCUCCAAACUUCCCGGGAUAUUGAUUACCUCACUUUGAGGUUCCUGAUGUUCGGUCAGCAAGUCAGCAAUUGCCUGGCCUUUGACUGCCCUUUGGGGUACAUAUUGAAAACUGAAUUUUGAUAGUGCUAGAAUCCACUUCCCAAUUCUUCCUGCUAGCAUAGGCUUUGACAACAUAUACUUUAUCACAUCUAUUUUGGCGAUGAUGUGCACGUGACAAGGUAACAUAUAAUGCCUUAGCUUGUUGGCAGUAAAAUAUAGAGCCAAACACAAUCUCUCCACCGGAAAAUAUCUUGUUUCUACCUCGGUCAAAAUUCUGCUGAGGUAGUAUACGGCCUGCUCAUUUCCACCUUCAUUAUUUUGGGCUAGCAAACUCCCAAUUGAUUUUUCCGAAGCAGAAAUAUACAGCUUCAAUGGCUUUCCCCUUUGAGGUGGUACCAACACUGGUGGAGAAGUUAGGUAGGCCUUGAUGCUGUCAAAUGCCUGCUGGUGGGUCGGCCCCCACUCGAAAUUCUCUUUAUCUUUCAAUCUUAGUAGAGGAGUUAGCGGUUGGAUUUUGCCCGCUAAAUUGGCAAUGAAUCUCCUCAAGAAGUUGAUUUUGCCUAGUAGCCUUUGAAGCUGUACUUUGUUGGUGGGUGGAGGUGACUCCAAUAUUGCCCGAGACUUGUUCUUGUCCACUUCCACACCUCUCUGAUGCACCAAGAAUCCCAAGAAGUGGCCCGCUCUUACUCCAAAUACGCACUUCUUUGGAUUCAUCUUCAAUUUGUGGAUCCGCAUCCUUAUCAAUGCUUGCCUGAGAUCUACUAGAUGCUGCUCUUCUGUUUUAGAUUUCACCACGAUGUCGUCGAUAUAUACCUCUAUGCUCUGGCCAAUUAGAUCAUGAAAAAUGGCAUUCAUUGCCCUUUGAUAUGUUGCGCCAGCAUUCUUGAGCCCGAAGGGCAUGACCAGAUACUCAUAUGCCCUCACAUGACCAGGACACCUAAAAGCUGUUUUAUGAAUAUCAUCUGGAGCCAUCUUUAUCUAAUUAUAUCUGGCAUUUCCAUCCAUAAAAGAUAAAACUUUAUGCUUUGCUACUGCAUCUAUGGAUAAAUUAGCCAUGGGCAUGGGAUAUUCAUCUUUUGGCGUAGCACUAUUAAUGUUUCUAUAGUCAACACAACAUCGUACUGCUUUUGUUAUAGCUUUUAAAACGGGUACAAUGUUGGCUAGCCAUUCCACGUAUUUGGCCGGUCUGAUAAAGCCAGCUUUUACCAGCCUUUCGAUCUCUUCUUUGACCUUUUCUUCUAUCUCCUUCGACAUCCUCCGUGGUGCUUGCUUAACAGGCUUAUAUCCUUCCUUGAUGGGCAUUCUAUGUUCCACCAAGGCUGGAUCUAACCCUGGCAUCUCGGCAUAAUGCCAAGCAAAACAAUCUUUGAAUUCUUGCAAAAGACAAAUGAUCAUUGCCCGAUCAACAAUUCCCAAUAAACCACUGAUUUGUAUUGGUCUUGGAUCCUCCUCCGUGCCUAGAUCAAUAACUUCCAAAGGAUCCUGAACUUCUGGUGAUGGCUUAUCAGGUUCUGCACAUAAAAAUUCGACCAACUCUGGCUCUCGGGCAAGUUGUCUGGCUCGUCUAGAUCAUAUAUGCAUUCAGCCAUUUGAAUGGCCCUAUCCAAUUCCUCUUUGCAAGAUUCCUCUCAAUUUCCAUGCUGGCUGGUUGAAGCUUCUUCCUGCCAUUCUUGCUAUUCCUGCUCCCUUUCUUGUCUUCUUCCCUUCCCAUAUACCAGCAGUCUUUUAAUCAGGGAUCUAACUGCCAUGACCUGAUCUUUCUUCUUUUGUUCAGUCAUUGAUGGUGUAGGGAAUUUGGUAUGAGACAAGGUUUAUCCCACUCCUCCUUAGUAAGGAGCAUUCCUUGUUCCAAAAGCUUUUGGGCCGUCACCUUGGUAGGGCGGCCGUUCUUAUCAGCUCCUGAACAUUUCAAGAUUCCUACGUUGGGAUUGUAGAAACUUGCUUCCGCAACAUUGGCUGAGGGGAGGAACGGCCGUGAUUCGGCCUCUACUAUUUCCCAAAAGCUUGGUCCUUCAGUACCUGCCUCAUGAUAUACAGCUACUUGUUGAUGAAGAGUGGAAUGUAUGGCUAAACUUUGGUGGAUCCAAUCUCUUCCGAGUAAGGCUCCGUAAGUGGAGGUGCAGUCCACCACAAAGAAUGCCAGCAUUAUCUUUUUGGAUCCCAAGUCCACCUCCAAAGGUAAUAUCCCAUGAGUCUUAGUGAUAGCACCUGAGAAGCUAGAGACCGUAAGGUCCGUGGGAAUAAGAUCUUCCGUACCUCUCCCAAUCUUUCUCAUCUGCUUGGCCGGUAACACGUUAACAGCUGCUCCUCCAUCAAUUAAAAUUCUUUUGAAGGGUACACCUUCCAAGUGAGCUGAAACAUAUAUAGGCUUCAGAUGGUUGGCCAACGAAAUACUCGGGCGGCUGAACACCAUCUCGUCUGUGUAAAUCCUUAGAAGACCACCCUUGGAUACUUCUGAGGGUUCAGCCUUGCCCGAGACUUGUUCUUCAGCUAUCUCCACAUUGACUUGUGCCAUCAUUGGCUCCGUUGUUAAGUAAUCACCCUCCAUAGUAGCAGGCUGAUCAGGUCUGGCACCAAACGUGGCGGAUAAUACAUACGCCAUGUUGAUGUGGAAAUUACUGGGCUCGAGUACAUCCUCCUUCUUGCUCCCAAUUUGGUCCAUGAAUUCAUCUAACCAGGCCAUCGCAUCGGCUGGAAGUAGUGGUUCUGGUAUCCCUUCCUGUUGUGGUUGAUCCAUGCCCUCGUACAGUGUUUGUUUUGGAACUUCACCAAAGGGAUCCACGAAUGGCAGAGAAAGUGGUCUUCUUUCAGAUGCAACAGUUCCCAUGUGAAUAGGCUCCGGCUUCCACCCAGGAGUUGAUACCAUGAUCAGAUCUUCUUGAGCUCUUCUCAAUAUCCUAUACUUCCCAGGAUGUUGGCUCUGCGGCACAUGAUCCCCCACACCCUCUGCUUUGCUAUUGGCUUUCUCUACCUCCUUUUUACUUCGCCAACGGAGCUGGCUACUACCUCCAGAUGUUGCUCUUUCCAACUUUUGAUUUUUUGAGGCUUCAGAGGUAGUGGGGGUCUUCAAAGAAUUCAUGUAGGCUUUGUGCUGCCUUUGAACCCUCCUGACCAUUGAGGCUCCCAUCGGUUUGGUGGGUUGUCCAUCCUUUCCGACUAUAUACCAUUUUCGCCCAAGAUGUGCAGGAUUCCCUUUUCUGCCGGGAUUAGCUAUCCCAUCAGUUCUCUUGACUUCCCCCCCCAUCUGGCCAUUCUGAAGAUGAUCUGCACCUCUCUGGAUUUUAGCCUCCAUUUUUUCUGCCUCGUCAGAAGCUUCAUGGUUUCGAAACACUUCUGACAAAGCCUUGGGUUGGGAAUCACCUCCUAAGCGUUGAAAAACACUUCGGGAAGUAUCCUUCUUUGUUGCCUGCUUAAUCUUUUCGCGGGCUUCUCUUCUUGUAUCUUCUUCUUUCCUCCUGAUUAACUCGUGAUCAAUGAGGACUCCAGCCGAGGGAAUCUCGAGCUCACAUUCACACUGGCAUUUACUACACAUAACCAUCCCCUUGAUUAUGGCAGCCUUUGGAUACUCAGGCAGUUUGAUUAUUCUCUCUGUAGGUUUUUCGGCCAGUCUUUCUUCUUCUUCCCUUGUAAUCUUCCCUUUUCCUUUCUCCGCCCAUGUCAUAUUGAGCAUAUUUAUAGGGGCCUCUAAGAAGGGAAAUGCAGGGUUGAUUACGACCAUCUCGUCUGGCUGGCUGUUUUUACGUCUUUUUCCUUUGGGAGGAACCACAUCUAUAUCACUUCUAGAGCCUGUGGAGGCUUUCUCCAAUCGUUGCAGCAUUUGAAACAACGUGGUCUAUAAGUCUUCUGGCAUAUCUGUUUCUCUAUCUUCUGAUUAGAGAUCCCACCGGGAGUGCCAAAACUAUGUUCGUGGCAGGAAUUUCCGUCGGGGAUGCUUUCCUGGCCAACGAGCACACAGCUCCCCUGGGAGGUCGGCACCGGUUGAGCCUGCUGUCGGGCUUCUACUUCGCGGUCGGGCUUUGUCGGGCAAGACUUGUCGGGCAAGUCUCGUCGGGCAAGACUCUUCAGGCAAGGCUCUUCGGGCAAGGCUGAAAGAGAAGGACAGCAUUAACUUUGAGAGGUGCCUUUGUGGGGCCUUAGGUGUAGGCUUUGAGGCUCACAAUCAAGGUUAACAUUUAAGUGCUCAGGCGUGCCACUGCCAUCUUUAGCAUGGCAGAUGUAGAAUGGUUGUCGUGCUUUAGUUGUAUAUAUGUAUGUAUCCAAGAAACCGUGUUAGUUAUAACAGGUGCCUUUGUGGGGCCUUAGGUUUAGGCCUUGAGGCUUCCCAUAAAUAACUAAACCAGUGCUCGAACACAUCAUAUUUAUUCUUGCGAUUGUAGGAGUUUUCUAACUAUUAUACUUCUGAUUACCCGAAUCCAAGAAGUAGAAUGAACCCAAAUAGGUGCCUUUGUGGGGCCUUAGGUGUAGGCCUUGAGGCUUCCCAUCAGAGUUCAUUCUUAUACUUAGACUCUUAGAUCGCAGAACGGAAUGAAUCCAAAUGGAUGCCUUUGUGGGGCCUUAGGUGUAGGCCUUGAGGCUUUCCAUCAGAAUCCAUUUCAUGCUCAAGCGUUCUAUGGAAAUCAUGAUAUAAUAGAAACAAAACCAAGAGGUAGGUCGAUUACUUGCGCCCCAAGUAACUUCGGACUUCUCGUUUAUCAAGGAUUGUCGUGGAUGGGUUGAGUCCACAUAAAGUUCUUUUUUAUGCCUUGAGGCCAAGGACUUUUAAACUAAUCAGAUUUACAUGCCCGAGGGCUUAGGACUUGGAUCUGAUUUAAACACUGAAGAUAUAUUCAAAUCGGAUCCAAGUACUGAGAAAGCUUUGUCAUCGUGAUUUUGCUAGAAACAACUUGCAUAUAACUGGAAGUAUACAACAUAUUGCUAGAUUUUAAAGAAAGACAAGACAAAGACAGAGCAAAGCAGGUCGGGCAAGAUUAAACCUUAUCAAUUAAGGCUGAUCGUCUUGCAGGUCCCUAUCUUUGUAGUUUUGUCAAAGGUCUGAAAGCUUAGAGGGGGAGAGGGGGAAAGGAGAAUACAAAAGGUGAAUCGAUACUACAACAAGUUCGAACAAGGUAGCAGAGCUAUUACAGAGGUUGGGAGAAAAGAUUAUCCCGCGAGGGAUGAAGGCUUGUUCCGAAUGGGAUGAAGGCUUGGGCUGACUACAGCUUCGUUUUGAAAGGCAAAUCUGGCUUUUUGAGCAGAGUUUGUGCUUUUGUUUGUUUGAUUGAGUGUCUUUAUUCCUGUCUUCUCUUCCUCCUUUUAUAGACGACUCGGUUUGGCUCCUGUAGCGACAGCUUUGCCCGAAUGCGGUCUGAGGGUGAUGACUCAUCAGCUUUAUUACAUGUAAUGCCACCAUAAAGUACUUUAUGGGCUGUGCAGUCUGAUCAGUCUACACCACUUGGUCCUUGGGUAGGUAGGCAAGUGGCCCUUAUGAAUUGUAUCAAGUCAGAAAAUGCCCUUUCCUGCUUUCCUAAGUUUCAGCCGGGCCUUGAUCUUCUAUUCCUCCAGGCCUCCUUUUGGGUCGACUCCAUCCUUGGGCCAAAAAUCAAGUUUUAAUCCAAACAGUAUGUUACUAGCUUUUAAAUCUCUAUGAAUUACUUUCUUUCUUGAGUAUUUGUGCAGGUAAAGCAACCCUUAAGCAAUUCCUUCGAGAAUGCUAAAACGCUUCUUCCAAUCUAGUAGUAGACCUCUGAUUGGAUCUGUCCAAUAUGUAGAGUUAAGUAGGACUAAUAUUAAUUAAUAGUAGUAAUCUAUGAACUUUGACAGUAAAAUAAAAGACAGAUAUCAAAUUUAACAAAUGAAAUCAAGUAUCUUGGUUCCUCACCAAAUAAAAAGUGGUCCAAACUUUUGUUCUGCAGAUACUCAUAUAUCAACAUCAUCUCUUCGCCAUGAAUGCAAAAUCCGAAAAGCUGAACCAGGUUUGUAUGUUGGAGUUCAUAUAUAAGUAUCAGUUCAUUCUUGAAUUCUGAUGUUCCUUGCCCUGAACAUUUCGAAAGCCUCUUCACAGCUAUUUCUUGUCCCAUCGCCAAUUUCC